GCAGGCAGACGGGCGAUCGCGGCGUAUUCGCCGAGGAAAGUCCGAACUCCACAGGGCAGCGUGCCUCGUAGUGCGAGGGCCCGUAAGGGACGGAAAGUGCCACAGAAAACAUACCGCCGCGAUCAACGGUAAGGGUGAAAAGGUGCGGUAAGAGCGCACCAGCGGUCCGGUAACGGAUCGGCUUGGCAAACCCCACGUGGAGCAAGGCCAAAUAGGGAAACGCGGCGCCCCGAAGGGCCAGCCCGAUAGGGCGAAGCCUUGAUGGAAGUGCGCCAGCGGCGGCCCGUCGUAGUUUCCGGGUAGGCUGCUCGAGCUUGUGGGAAACCUCAGGCCUAGAUGAAUGAUCGCCACUCAGUCAUCCCGUGUGGGGGUACCGGCCAAAUGCCUGGAAGGAGGCCGCCGAAGGCGGUGUACCAACUACGGCUUGGCCGGUGGGCCCCACGCUAAAAGAUGGCUGGGUACAGAAUUCGGCUUACAGUCUGCCUGCCUUG
Molecule: RNase P RNA, 491 nt
Filed under: Acidobacteriota bacterium
Lineage: Bacteria; Pseudomonadati; Acidobacteriota
Description: Acidobacteria bacterium RNase P RNA component class A
Rfam family: Bacterial RNase P class A
About the family: Ribonuclease P (RNase P) is a ubiquitous endoribonuclease, found in archaea, bacteria and eukarya as well as chloroplasts and mitochondria.
Source: RNAcentral